Molecule: ribosomal RNA, 367 nt
Filed under: uncultured organism
Description: bacterial SSU rRNA
Rfam family: Bacterial small subunit ribosomal RNA
Source: RNAcentral
CGGAGGAUCCAAGCGUUUAUCCGGAAUCAUUGGGUUUAAAGGGUCCGUAGGCGGUUUUAUAAGUCAGUGGUGAAAUCUGGUCGCUCAACGAUCAAACGGCCAUUGAUACUGUAGAACUUGAAUUACUUGGAAGUAACUAGAAUAUGUAGUGUAGCGGUGAAAUGCUUAGAGAUUACAUGGAAUACCAAUUGCGAAGGCAGGUUACUACAAGUGGAUUGACGCUGAUGGACGAAAGCGUGGGGAGCGAACAGGAUUAGAUACCCUGGUAGUCCACGCCGUAAACGAUGGAUACUAGCUGUUCGGAGCAAUCUGAGUGGCUAAGCGAAAGUGAUAAGUAUCCCACCUGGGGAGUACGAACGCAAGUUUG